AAAAAUACAGACAAGAGAGAGGUCAUUCUCCAACAGCCUGCAAGAGCAACCUGGAGAGACUUUGACCACUCAGGUCAGCAUAAUACCUGCAGCUGCACUUUCCCUAUAUCU
Molecule: small nucleolar RNA, 111 nt
Organism: Pipistrellus kuhlii (Kuhl's pipistrelle)
Lineage: Eukaryota; Metazoa; Chordata; Mammalia; Chiroptera; Vespertilionidae
Product: small nucleolar RNA SNORA44
Exons: 1
Source: RefSeq, a predicted model, not a curated record